CUUUCGGUGCACCGCCACACACCAGAACCUCCAGCUCGAUAACUUCUUCUUCAAGAUUCUUGAUGGGGAGGAGAACGGCGGAGCCGGUGCUCGGAUAGCUUCUCGGAUCGCCUCCAGGGAUCUCCGGGUAUGUUUUCACGACGGUGUUCUUGGAAUAGUCUAGUAAAAUGGCUCGGUUAUUAGCAAAUAUGAAUAAGUUUCCAUCGGUGUUGAGGAACACGUUAGGGUAGAGAUUGUUUUCUAUAGAAUCACACACAAGUUUAAUAAGAAGUCCUUCUCUUAUUAAUCACUCAAAAGAUCGCAAGUCACAACUCACAAUUUGCAAUCACAAUUCACUUAUAAUGCAACACAAUAUGCAUCUCAAUAUAUAGGAAUAGAUAUCUCCUAAACCUAAUAGUAAUAACACAUUCCAUAUUUCCUAAUCCUAUAGAUAGACACAAAUCAUAUUAGGAUUAGGAUAGCUUAUUACUUAAGCUAUCACCAAGCUUAAUCCAACAUUCUCCCCUUUAAGCUUGACAUCAUCUUCAUUCAUACCUUGAACUCCAAUUAGUCUUCUCAUUUCGAUAAACUUAACUCUUCCAAGUGACUUUGUCAAUAUGUCAGCUUUCUGCUCACUUCCUGGAACAUGCUUCACCUCCACUUGUUCAUUCUCAACACACUCUCGGAUAAAAUGAAACCGUCGAUGAAUGUGUUUACUUCUUCCAUGAAACACCGGAUUCUUGGUUAAUGCAAUAGCAGAUAUAUUGUCGACAUAUAUAGUCACCUUCUUGCUUGUUUGGCCGACCACUUCACCCAGGAGAUCUUGCAGCCAUAUUGCUUGUUUAGCAGCCUCAGUUGCAGCCAUAAACUCAGCCUCACAAGACGAUAAAGCAACUAUCUCCUGUUUCUGUGAGCACCACGUUAUUGGACUUUGAUCAAGAUAAAAUACAUGUCCUGUUGUGCUUCGACCAUCAUCGGCAUCAACACUAUGAGAACUAUCGCUGAAACCUUUCAACUCGAUCUUCUUAGUCCGUGAAAACACAAGACCCAAAGCCGUUGUUCCGCGUAAGUAUCGAAGUACUUGUUUCAAUGCAGAACCAUGACUCUCCUUAGGAUUUUGCAUAUAUCUACUUAGAACACUAACAGAGAAUGAUAGGUCUGGUCGAGUAUGGAGUAAAUACCGUAAGCAUCCUACAGCUCUUCGAUACUCCCUUUCGUUGAUGCUCUUCUCCUCUGAUGAUUUUGAAAGCUUCACAUUUACAUCCAAAGGUAUGGCUGUCGAAUUACAUGAGUUCAUACCACUCUCUUCAAGUAUUUUCUGAGCAUAUCGGUCUUGUCUAAGGAUGAUGGUUUCGCCACAUUGUUGUACUUCUAUCCCCAAAUAAUACGUCAAUAAUCCAAGGUCGCUCAUCUCAAAUUUCGUAGACAUUCCCCGUUUGAACUCAAGAAUCGAUUGCAAGCUUGUUCCAGUUACGAGUAGGUCGUCCACAUAGACUACAACAAUUAGAAGACCUUUCUUUUCUACUUUUCGAUACACCGAUGGUUCUUUCGAGCACCGUUCGAACUUGAGCUCUAAAAGUAUCUGGUUUAACUUAGUGUUCCAAGCCCUAGGUGCUUGUUUAAGACCAUAGAGUGCCUUCUUAAGUUUGUAGACUUUGUUUUCUUUUCCCUCGACAUGAAAACCUUCUGGCUGUAAGACAAAGACUUCCUCUUUGAGUUCUCCAUGUAAGAACGCAGUUUUUACAUCAAGAUGGUGUAUCUCCCAUCCGUUGCUUGCUGCUAAAGCAAUGAUUAAACGGAUUGUUUCAAUACGAGCGACCGGCGCGAAUACUUCAUCAUAAUCAACUCCAUGUCGCUGAACAUAGCCUUUUGCUACUAACCGAGCCUUGAAUUUGCUAAUGCUCCCGUCAGCAUUCCUUUUGAUCUUAAAUACCCACUUGAGACCAAUAGGUUUUACUCCCAAUGGUAGAUCAACAAGCUCCCAUGUAUCAUUCUUCUCAAUAGAUAAAAUUUCAUCUUUACAUGCAUCGAUCCAGACUUUCAGUUCCUUUGCUUCGUUAAAAUCCCAAGGCUCGUCAUUAAUAACCAUUAGAAGUCUUUCACACUCUGUUUCCGCCAUAAGAACAUAAUCAUCCAAGUAUGCUGGUUUAUGGACGAUCCUUGAAGAUCGUCGUGGCUGUGGCUGAUCGUCUCCGGACGUUCCAUCAUCGUUUUCUUCUUCUUCUUCUUCGUUUUCACUCUCGACCUGCGUGGUCGUUCCAUUCUCAUUAUUUUCUACAGUUUCUUGACUGUCAUCUUCUUCGUUUUCGAGUUCAUUGAAAGUACCAACAAUGGAGAAAGUACUUUCUCCUGAUCCUUUUGCUUUGUUCCAAUUCCAUUCUUUGUUUUCUUCAAAGAUAACAUCGCGACUAACAAUAACUCUUUUGGUUGAAGGAUCGUAUAACCGAUAUGCUUUGGAACCUGGUUCGGUUCCUAAAUAAACUAGAGUUAUGGACCGAUCGUCAAGCUUUCUUCUUCCAGCUGAGUUUGUUUUGGCGUGACAUACACACCCGAAUACUCGGAGAUGAUCGAGGUUCGGUUUUUUCUCUCGUAGAGCUUCAUAUGGUGUCAUAUCUUCAAGUGUUCUCGUCGCCAUCCUGUUUAUCAAGUAUGUGGCAUGUCUUACCGCUUCACCCCAAAAGACAUUAGGUAUGUUCAUAUGCUUUAGAAUGCUUCUUGUCAUCUCGAGAAGAGUUCGAUUUCGUCUCUCAACAACUCCAUUUUGUUGAGGAGAGUAAGGUGCUGUUAAGUGCCUUUGGAUACCAUUCUUGCUGCAGUAGUCUUGAAACUCUUGGCUCAUAAAUUCACCACCACGAUCCGUUCGAAAUGUUUUUAUUACUUCUUUUGUUUCCUGUUCAGCCACCGCUUUAAAAUGCUUGAAUUUACCAAAAGCCUCGCUCUUUUCUCGUAUCAAUAUGGUCCACAUAUAUCGUGAGUAAUCGUCGAUAAGGACGAAUACAUAUCUUUUCUGCGAAGGCGUUGAUGGUGUGAUAGGCCCGCAUAGGUCCCCGUGAACUAACUCGAGAGGACGGGAAGCACGGAAUGUUGUUGCUUGUGGGAAAGGCUUUCGAGUUUGUUUGCCAAGUAAGCAGCUUCUACACGUCUCUUUCUCUACGUCAAUACUAGGUAAGCCUGUCACAAGCUUCUUUUUGAUCAUUGUUUUCAUCGUUUCCGUAUUUACAUGUCCCAUCCGUGCAUGCCAUCUAGAUGAUUCGCUUGGCUUGAUCAGUAGACACUCGGGGUUCUCAUGGACUUGUAAGCUUACUUUGUAUAAUCUGUUCUUUGAUCUGGUUGUCUUUAACAUCAUUCCUCCAAGUCGAUCGAAAAGCAUCAGCAUAUCUCCUUUCAUUCGUACUUCACAUCCAGUUUCAGUAGCUUGUCCUAAGCUAAUGAUGUUACUCUUUAAUCCUGGUAUAUAGUAGACAUUAUGUAGGAUCUUCUUUUCGCCUUUUCCAAAGAUAAACUGAAUGGAUCCUUUUCCUCUAAUGUCAAUACGAGAAUCGUCUCCAAACCUUACUUUUCCCAAAAUUGUUUCGUCAAUCUUUGUGAAGAACAUACGGUUUCCACUCAUAUGAUUGCUUGCUCCAUUAUCGAGAUACCAUAUGUUUUUCAUAUCAAGAUCUGAGUCAAAGAAGGUUGGAUUUACUUUGUUUUCAUUCAAAUACACAACUUCAUGCAUCAUUAGUUCGUCUGCUUCAUGCGUAUCGUCAGUUUUCUUCUCAGCGGUUUCUUGUAGUUUAAGUAACUUCUCGGGACAAUCUGUCGCAUAGUGUCCGAGUUUGUCACAGCUAAAGCACGUGAUAUGAGAUAUAUCCCUCUCUUGUCCGUUGCUCUGCUUCCAAGCUUCUCGCUGUUGUUGAAAGCUUCCACGACCGCGACCUCUUCCUCGCCAAUUACUACGUCCUCCACGUCCUCUGUUAGAUCUAUUACCGUUGUAGCCACCUUGAGAUCCUUCAGAGUUAGCGUACAUUAGUUUCUCCUGAUCUUCCUGUCGAUCCUCUUCGUCUUCACAGAUUCUUUCUUCGUAUGCUUUUAGUCGGCCAACAAUAUCCUCGAAGCUUGUUGUAUUUAAGUCAAGAACUUGCUCAAGAGAAGCAACUAUGUGAAUGUACUUUCGUCUUGGUAAGCUCUUUAAAAACUUCUUUACAAUUUUUGCUUCUUCUAUAAUCUCACCUAGAGAUGCAGAUUUAGAUACAAUUUCGGAUAGUUUCCCAACAAAAGUGUCAACCGUGUCCUCGUCUUUCAUUCUCAAUCGAUCAAAUUCAGCCAUCAAUGUCUGAAGUCUUGCUUCUCUCACCCUCUCAGCUCCUAUAUGUCUCGCUUUAAUUGCAUCCCACACUGCCUUAGCUGUGUCCAGAUCUCCAACUUGGAGUGUUAAAGAUUCAGGGAUGGAUUGAAACAACAAAGCAGUAGCCAUGUUGUUCUUCUCUUCGUCUUUGCUCCCUGGAUCGAUAACUUCCCAUACUUUAUGAACUUUGAGAGUAACUUUCAUCCUCAUAGCCCAUACAACGUAGUUCGUGGAGUUUAACAUUGGAAAACGAAUGGAGGAUGGUCCGGGCUCCUUCAUGGUCACCGUGGGUUCGUCUUUGAUAUCGCUCAUCGUGUCUUGAAGAUUUGAUAUAGUGCUUUGCUAGUUUUUCGAAUUUGUGUGGCUCUGAUACCAAUUAUAGAAUCACACACAAGUUUAAUAAGAAGUCCUUCUCUUAUUAAUCACUCAAAAGAUCGCAAGUCACAACUCACAAUUUGCAAUCACAAUUCACUUAUAAUGCAACACAAUAUGCAUCUCAAUAUAUAGGAAUAGAUAUCUCCUAAACCUAAUAGUAAUAACACAUUCCAUAUUUCCUAAUCCUAUAGAUAGACACAAAUCAUAUUAGGAUUAGGAUAGCUUAUUACUUAAGCUAUCACCAAGCUUAAUCCAACAUUUUCUUGGUCAAGAUCGUUGGUUUCCGACAAGAACCGUAAGCUGUAUGUGUUUGGAGCGUUUGUCUUAGGGAAAAACUCGAAGUUAAACUCAUCACGACCUCCUACUAUAAUCUGACGACCAUCGGGAAGUACAUGGUUCGAAGCGUACCAUCUUUUAACAUUAAGUGCGUUGUCUAUUUCAGACCAAUCACAAGAAUCAUCAUCGCAUGGGUAGAACAGUCUAGCUUUACGUUCUCCGUCUUUGUCUCCUCCUGUCUGAAGGAGAGUUCCGUCGGGAGUGACUCCUCCCGAGGAGCACCAAGUG
This 5245-nucleotide long non-coding RNA is filed under the name Brassica napus (rape). RNAcentral's name for it is "long non-coding RNA (BNAP_LNC019309)". Lineage: Eukaryota; Viridiplantae; Streptophyta; Magnoliopsida; Brassicales; Brassicaceae. The record is from RNAcentral.